This 516-nucleotide unclassified non-coding RNA is filed under the name Hevea brasiliensis (rubber tree). Lineage: Eukaryota; Viridiplantae; Streptophyta; Magnoliopsida; Malpighiales; Euphorbiaceae. The record is from RNAcentral.
GCUUGACUGGAAUCUGUAGCAGCAGUAGUAACUCAAGCAGCAACAGCACUUUUGCAAGCUUGUUUGCUUCAUCAACAGCUUCAGGAAGUUUGCCGUCUCAAGCACCUCAAUUUACUGAUUGGUUUCAGUCCGUGGCUCCUUCACCACCACCUGAUAUAGAACCACCAUCAUCUAUGGAACCAAUAUCUCUCUGCCUUGCAAUGAAUCAUGGUUCAUCAGUCUUUGGAUCAACCGGGCAAGAAAGAAUGCAGUAUGCUGCAGCACCACAACCAUCCAUGUCUGCAACAGCAUUACUGCAGAAGGCUGCUCAGAUGGGUGCAACAGCGACAAACUCAUCAUUGUUGAGGGGUCUUGGGAUUUUAUCUUCUUCUUCAUCGUCUAGUGGGCAACACGAAUGGAAUGGGAGACAAAUUGACACUGAUGGUGCAACGUUGGCUGCAGGCCUUGGCCUUGGAUUGCCAUGUGACGAUGGCUCUGGUCUAAAGGAACUAAUGCUGGGAACUCCCUCUGUUUUCG